GUGGUAUCCGCACGAGCGCAACCCCUGCUGCUCUGUUGCCAACAUGUUAACGCUGGGAACUCGGGCCGAACUGCCGGGGACGAACCGUGAGGAAGGUGGGGACGACGUCAAAUCCUCAUGGCCCUUAUGUCCUGGGCUACACACGGUGCUACAAUGGCCUGGUACGGAGCGAUGCAAAACCGCCAGGUACAGCAAAUCGCGGAAAACCGGUCCCAGUUCGGAUUGGAUUCUGAAACCCUACUUCUUGAAGGCGGAAUCGCUAGUAAUCGCGCAUCAGCAUGGCGCGGUGAAUAUGUUCCCGGGCCUUGGACACACCGCCCGUCACACCACCCGAGUCGGGGGUACCCGAAGUCGCUCGUCUAACCAUCAAUGGAGGACGGUGCCUAAGGUAUGCCUGGUAAGGGGGGUGAAGUCGUAACAGGGUAGCCGUACUGGAAAGUGCGGCUGGAUCA
RNAcentral lists this ribosomal RNA (452 nucleotides) under uncultured spirochete. RNAcentral describes it as "bacterial SSU rRNA". It matches the Rfam family "Bacterial small subunit ribosomal RNA", at positions 1074 to 1525 of the family's 1533-position model. Lineage: Bacteria; Pseudomonadati; Spirochaetota; Spirochaetia; Spirochaetales. The record is from RNAcentral.